RNAcentral lists this ribosomal RNA (818 nucleotides) under fungal sp. BG39. Its description in RNAcentral is "eukaryotic LSU rRNA". It matches the Rfam family "Eukaryotic large subunit ribosomal RNA", at positions 87 to 929 of the family's 3401-position model. Lineage: Eukaryota; Fungi. The record is from RNAcentral.
CGGCGAGUGAAGCGGCAAGAGCUCAAAUUUGAAAUCUGGCCCUCUCAGGGUCCGAGUUGUAAUUUGUAGAGGGCGCUUUGGCGUUGGCCCCGGCCUAAGUUCCUUGGAACAGGACGUCACAGAGGGUGAGAACCCCGUACGUGGCCGCCGGCCUCCGCCGUGUAAAGCCCCUUCGACGAGUCGAGUUGUUUGGGAAUGCAGCUCUAAAUGGGAGGUAAAUUUCUUCUAAAGCUAAAUACUGGCCAGAGACCGAUAGCGCACAAGUAGAGUGAUCGAAAGAUGAAAAGCACUUUGGAAAGAGAGUCAAAAAGCACGUGAAAUUGUUGAAAGGGAAGCGCUUGCAGCCAGACUUGCCUGUAGUUGCUCAUCCGAGCUCCCGCUCGGUGCACUCUUCUGCGGGCAGGCCAGCAUCAGUCCGGGCGGUCGGAUAAAGGCCUCGGGAAUGUANCUCCCCUCGGGGAGUGUUAUAGCCCGGGGUGCCAUGCGACCAGCUUGGACUGAGGUCCGCGAUAGGNUGCUGGCGUAAUGGCUGUAAGCGGCCAGUCUUGAAACACGGACCAAGGAGUCUAACAUCUAUNCGAGUGUUUGGGUGUCAAGCCCGGGCGCGCAAUGAAAGUGAACGGAGGUGGGAACCCCUCGGGGCGCACCAUCGACCGAUCNUGAUGUCUUCGGAUGGAUUUGAGUAAGAGCAUAGCUGUUGGGACCCGAAAGAUGGUGAACUAUGCCUGAAUAGGGUGAAGCCAGAGGAAACUCUGGUGGAGGCUCGCAGCGGUUCUGACGUGCAAAUCGAUCGUCAAAUUUGGGCAUAGGGGCGAAAG